GAUGAACGCUGGCGGUGUGCCUAACACAUGCAAGUCGAGCGACCACACGAGAAGCUCGUGCUUUUACCGGUAGCGGGGGACGGGCGAGUAAGAAGUACAUCGCAAUCUACUUUUUCUGGGAUAAUAACGUGGGACAGCUGAUACUAAUAGCUCAUAUAUCCUACCGCUUGAAUCAAUAGAUCUUCAGACCUUUCGCGAUACAAUUAGCCGACGCCGCAUUAGCUAGGUGGCUAGGUAAGGGCUCACCAAGGCAACGAUGCGUAGCCGGCCUGAGAGGAUGAUCGGCCACACUGGAACUGAGACACGGUCCAGACUCCUACGGGAGGCAGCAGUAGGGAAUCUUCCGCAAUGGGCGAAAGCCUGACGGAGCAACGCCGCGUGAGUGAUGAAGGUCUUCGGAUCGUAAAACUCUGUUAUUAGGGAAGAAAAAAUGUAGAAGUAACUAUGCACGUCUUGACGGUACCUAAUCAGAAAGCCACGGCUAACUACGUG
RNAcentral lists this ribosomal RNA (492 nucleotides) under uncultured bacterium. RNAcentral's name for it is "partial 16S ribosomal RNA". It matches the Rfam family "Bacterial small subunit ribosomal RNA", at positions 28 to 507 of the family's 1533-position model. The record is from RNAcentral.